UGUAUCGCUGAUAUCUUGGCUCCCUCUACUGAAACUUUAAUGUGGAAGCCUGCCAUUGUUACCCAUUUUCAGUCUGAGAUGUG
Molecule: small nucleolar RNA, 83 nt
Organism: Dicentrarchus labrax (European seabass)
Lineage: Eukaryota; Metazoa; Chordata; Actinopteri; Moronidae
Source: Ensembl